UGUGGGAGCGUGUGGACAGUAUCGAUCGUAUUGCGCAGAGAUUUGUUCGCUUCGCUCGCACAGA
Molecule: microRNA precursor, 64 nt
Filed under: Pristionchus pacificus
Lineage: Eukaryota; Metazoa; Nematoda; Chromadorea; Rhabditida; Neodiplogasteridae
Description: microRNA ppc-mir-8240 precursor
Source: miRBase by way of RNAcentral